GUGCUCGCUUCGGCAGCACAAACACUAAAACCGGAACCAUAUAGAGAUUAGCAUGGCCCCUGCGUAAGAUGACACGCAAGUUUGUGAAAUGUCCCUUAUUUAA
Molecule: small nuclear RNA, 103 nt
Organism: Pipistrellus kuhlii (Kuhl's pipistrelle)
Lineage: Eukaryota; Metazoa; Chordata; Mammalia; Chiroptera; Vespertilionidae
Source: RefSeq, a predicted model, not a curated record